UUUAGUUCCCCCCUGAUUUCUGCAGAGGUGGAAGGGCUAAAGGCUGAAUCAAUCACGAACAGCCAAUGAGUUAUCAAUCAUGACCAUGUAACGAAGCCUCCAUAAAAACCCAAAAGAAGGGAAUUCAGAGAGUUUCCAAGUUCGGGAGCCAGAAUGAGUCCACAUGCCAUCAAUUCCAGGAGCCAAGCUCCAAGACAGAAGCUCCUUUGCUCAGGACUCACCCAUGUAUCUCUUCAUCUGGUUGUUGAUUCAUAUACUUUAAUAUAUUUUGUAAUAAAUUAGUAAUCAGACCCUAAGCCACAUCAAAUCAUAUUAUUUUGGUGCCCAACAUUCAGUCUGAGUCUUCUCAUCUGGACUCCGACCCUCAGUGCAAACUUGGAAUAUAGUGUGACUGCUAACAUGCCUUCUCGUUGCCGUGAAUCUGUGGAAGACCUCAAACUUCUUUUCAAAUGACAAUGAAGGACUAGAGCACGUCACUUGGCACAUGAAAGCUCUUAAUAAUGUCUCCCUGCCUGGUGCCUAGACUCCUUCCCUGCAUUUGCUCGAAGUCCUCAGAAGCUGAGCCAUGCAGACUCAUCACCAUGUUCCAACACCUUGCCACCUAGUUUCCUGUUGGGUUUGGCCAAUGGAAGAUAUCAACAUGAAACUGGAAUGUUUGAGAAGAGAGAGACUGGCAUUCUUUCCUGCUUCCUUUUUGCUAUACCACUUGCUCUCUGGCAGUAGCUGUAUCUCUAUUUCACUGGGCCACUCCUUCACAGUUGCAGUCCAGAAACACUAAUUUCUCUCCAAAGAGUUUCUUACUAAGCUGUUUCUGUAUGCUUCAUCAUCUCAUUUAUUCCCAUAACUAUGCCCACAUCUUUUUAAAUAGGCUCUUCAUUUGGACUGAAUUCUGUUUCCUGCUGGGUCCCUAAC
Molecule: long non-coding RNA, 912 nt
Organism: Neofelis nebulosa (Clouded leopard)
Lineage: Eukaryota; Metazoa; Chordata; Mammalia; Carnivora; Felidae
Exons: 4
Source: RefSeq, a predicted model, not a curated record